Molecule: long non-coding RNA, 371 nt
Organism: Grus americana (Whooping crane)
Lineage: Eukaryota; Metazoa; Chordata; Aves; Gruiformes; Gruidae
Exons: 3
Source: RefSeq, a predicted model, not a curated record
GAGGAAGUUGUUUAAAACAGACUGGAAACGAUAUAGUCCGUAUGAACACCAUCUAUCAGCCCAGCUCCAUUGUUAUGAACAAACCAGCAAGGAAUGUCAAUGCCGUGCUUAGGAUCCCUUCUGUAAUCCUUCUGCCAGCCCCUGAAAGGGAAAAUACAGGCAUGGAAGUAUCAAAGCAGAAACUGCACUUUGACGAGCAUUUCCCAUGAUGUAUGGACCCAAUGUGUGCUACCACUGAUACCUUGGCUCACUCUCCUCAGGCCUCAAAUGCCAUGCUUUGAGAAGGUAGUCAUUUUGUUCCAGGCACACAAUGAAAAUGUAAAUGAGGAGGAGGAGCUGCUGCCCAUUCUUUUUCUUAAACUUCCCUUUGC